Long non-coding RNA from Perognathus longimembris pacificus (Pacific pocket mouse), 1020 nucleotides. RefSeq lists it as uncharacterized. The record is from RefSeq and is a predicted model, not a curated record. The transcript is spliced from 2 exons. NCBI's taxonomy places the organism in Eukaryota, Metazoa, Chordata, Mammalia, Rodentia, Heteromyidae.
AACUUAAGGUAAGCAUGUCACAAAUUUUUCUUCCCUAGGCUGGCUUUGAACCACAAUCUUCAGAUUUCAGCUUCCUGAGUAGUUAAUAUUACUACAGACAGACAGUGCCUGGCUGUCAUGUUCUUUAGAGACUGAACUGAAAUGUGUCUGCAUGAAAAGGCUAUGGAUUUAACUUUGGUGUACAAAUUUUAAGCCACAUGAAAUCAAAACCACAAUUGGAGAUACUGUAUCUUGGCAAGCUUGCUAGUUCUCCCAGCAAUCCCCCAAUGAAAGCAGUAGGCUUCCAUUAAAUGAACAAGUGCUCACAGGAGUCCAGUCUACUGCCUUUGGCUUUCUCAAGAGACUCACCAGUUGAGACAUUAUCCACAUAAAGAGACCAAAGAGAACACAUUAAACUCAUUUGUCACACAAAUCUUCACAUUCAGAAAGUAUCAGUUACUUGUUGACAGAUUGAUAAAAGUUCUCCAGACCACUAGGAUUCAUUUUCUUGCUUGCUUUAUUUUUGUUUUCAUUUAAUAAACCCUCUCACACAGCAGGUCUAUCCUCACAUUUUCAUGUCUUUUCAUCUAGACCCUGGAAACUUGCAUCUUUAGGGAGCUCUGCUUUCUAUCAACAUCACUGCUUAUCACAAGCCAAUAAUAAAUACAUUUCUGUGUAGAUGGAAGGAUGUAAAUGAAGAUUAAGCCCACAUUACCUAAAGUGGAAACUAUGCCGCCAAAAUUGAAAAGUAGGCUCAGGCUCUCCCCACUUUCCAGGGCCCCUGUCGAUUCCAGCUGGACUGUGCUUUUUGGAAUUCAUGCGCUGGCUGUGGUCCCCAUCCUUUCUCAGAAGUAACACCUUAUGCUGUCUGAGGAGGAACACAUCUUAAUCCAUUGUGUGAAUACUCAUGUUUUGAAGAACCAAACCAGUUAUCUUAAGCAGAGGUGAACCUACCAUCUUCCUCCGGACUUCAGCCAAUCUCUAAGGAAUGCCUUUAAAAUUACUUCCAAGUGGGGAAGUUGGAGGAUAAUCUUUUAACAC